Molecule: ribosomal RNA, 253 nt
Filed under: uncultured bacterium
Lineage: Bacteria
Description: partial 16S ribosomal RNA
Rfam family: Bacterial small subunit ribosomal RNA
Source: RNAcentral
UACAGAGGCCUCGAGCGUUAAUCGGAGUCACUGGGCUUAAAGGGUGCGUAGGCGGGUCCGCAAGUGCCUUGUGAAAUCCCACGGCUCAACCGUGGAAUGGCUCGGCAGACUGCGGGUCUUGAGGUCGGUAGGGGUCGCUGGAACUCUAGGUGGAGCGGUGAAAUGCGCAGAUAUCAGGAGGAACACCGGUGGCGAAGGCGGGUCUCUGGGCCGAUACUGACGCUGAGGAGCGAAAGCGUGGGGAGCGAACAGG